Molecule: ribosomal RNA, 858 nt
Filed under: Triticum aestivum (bread wheat)
Lineage: Eukaryota; Viridiplantae; Streptophyta; Magnoliopsida; Poales; Poaceae
Description: partial small subunit ribosomal RNA
Source: RNAcentral
AUGGCGCUCUUCAGGGCUUCUACCAUCAUCUCCUUGGGCAAUGGGAGAAAAUCCUUAUUCUGGCUCGAUGACUGGACAGGACGGGGCCCUCUGUCCCGGGCCUUCCCGGAGCUGUACAAAAUUGCCACCAGGAAGCGAAGAUCUGUGAUGAAGGAGCUACAAGAGGAGAACUGGAUCAGAUCGGUUGCCCGUCUUUCAUCGCCUACCCACCUGCAGGAGUUCAUUGCCCUCGCUUCAGUUAUCACUCAGGUGGCGUUGAACCCGGACCAGGAGGACUCCAUCACUUGGCGGUGGACCCCCAAUGGCAUAUACUCUGCUGCUUCGGCCUACGCGGCCCAGUUCUCUGGAUCCUAUCCCAGGUUCUCCCCGACCAAGAUUUGGGAGGCACAUGCUGAGCCAAAAUGUAAGUUCUUCGCCUGGCUUGUGCUCCACGGGAAGAUCCUCACGGCCGACAUGCUAGCCGUUCGUGGCUGGCCGCACGACCCUUGUUGUUCCCUUUGCCUUCGAGCUCCGGAGACGGCCACUCAUCUCUGCAAGGACUGCCCAUUUGCCGCCGCAGUUUGGUCUCACGUCCAGGUCUGGACGGGAGAGGACUCUGGGGCCACGCCCACGUUGCCCCCUUCGAUGGGGAUUUCGGAGUGGUGGGAUUCGCUCACCACCAAUCUGCCCAAGAACGUCAAAAGAAGGCGGAGCGGCCGCUUCCUUUACACCAUCUGGAACAUUUGGAAGGAGCGAAACCGACGCAUCUUCAAUGGAACUCGCCUCACGCACCUCGAGGUUGCAGCUAUUGCCUUCGAAGACAUCAAGCAAAGGUCCCGGGCCUUUGGCCGGGCACAUGUGGCAACCGGUAUUGGCUGA